UUGUCCUUAGGUUUCAUUUUCAUAAAUCUGAGUCAUUUAUAGGCUAGGAUUUUAGUUUGCUAAUGUAGUCCACCAUUGCAACAGAGCUACCUCAACCUAAUGGCCUCCUGGUUUAAUUAAUUUAACAGGGUCCAUCAAGAAAAUUUUAUUGAAACACAUACAUGCUCAUUUGUUGACACAUUGUCCACAGCUAGUUUCACAUUACAACCUGAGUAGAGUUGUUGCAAAGGAGUAUGACCUAAAUGCUUACUAUCCAUUCCUUUGCAGAAACAAUUGCUCACCCCUAGGUAGACCAGUUUGAAAACCUUGGCACUAUUGAUAUUUUGGACCACUUCCCAUCCACCCUUAACAAAAAUGUCUCCAGAUUGAGAACCACAGUUCCAGAUGAUGAGAAUAGCACCCCUGCAAUCUUCACAAGGACCUAAGGACAAUCCAGGUUGCUGAAAGGGUGGGCUAUAGACAAGGCAGUGACCCAGCUUCAACCAUCCCCAAAAGGAGAUCAUCCUAGUGGCAGCAGAGUAAUAAUAUGGAUGACUCUAACUCCCUGGAUUACUUCAUUUAACAAAGCUGCUCCUUUAGGCUUAGAUAGUGAAGUCAAACUAUUACGCCAGAAAUAAACUAUCAUCUUAUUUUAGCAAUCA
This is a long non-coding RNA of Acinonyx jubatus (cheetah), 641 nucleotides long. RefSeq lists it as uncharacterized. NCBI's taxonomy places the organism in Eukaryota, Metazoa, Chordata, Mammalia, Carnivora, Felidae. The transcript has 2 exons. The record is from RefSeq and is a predicted model, not a curated record.